Molecule: ribosomal RNA, 468 nt
Filed under: uncultured bacterium
Lineage: Bacteria
Description: partial 16S ribosomal RNA
Rfam family: Bacterial small subunit ribosomal RNA
Source: RNAcentral
GACGAACGCUGGCGGCGUGCUUAACACAUGCAAGUCGAACGGAAAGGCCCUGCUUUUGUGGGGUGCUCGAGUGGCGAACGGGUGAGUAACACGUGAGUAACCUGCCCUUGACUUUGGGAUAACUUCAGGAAACUGGGGCUAAUACCGGAUAGGAGCUCCUGCUGCAUGGUGGGGGUUGGUAAGUUUCGGCGGUUGGGGAUGGACUCGCGGCUUAUCAGCUUGUUGGUGGGGUAGUGGCUUACCAAGGCUUUGAAGGGUAGCCGGCCUGAGAGGGUGACCGGAGAAAUAGGGACUGAGAGAAGGACCAGAGUACAACGGGAGGAAGCAGGGGGGAAUAUUGCAGAAUGGGAGGAAGCCUGAAGGAGAAAAGCAGCGUGCGGGAUGACGGCCUUCGGGUUGUAAACAGAUUUAGAAUGUGAAGAAGAGUGAGUGACGGUAAUGGGUAAAGAAGCACCGGCUAACUACGUG